RNAcentral lists this ribosomal RNA (433 nucleotides) under uncultured bacterium. Its description in RNAcentral is "partial 16S ribosomal RNA". It matches the Rfam family "Bacterial small subunit ribosomal RNA", at positions 29 to 507 of the family's 1533-position model. The record is from RNAcentral.
AACGAACGCUGGCGGCAUGCCUAACACAUGCAAGUCGAACGAGACCUUCGGGUCUAGUGGCGCACGGGUGCGUAACGCGUGGGAACCUGCCCUUAGGUUCGGAAUAACUCCCCGAAAGGGGUGCUAAUACCGGAUAAUGUCUUCGGACCAAAGAUUUAUCGCCUUUGGAUGGGCCCGCGUUGGAUUCGCUAGUUGGUAGGGUAAAAGCCUACCAAGGCGACGAUCCAUAGCUGGUCUGAGAGGAUGAUCAGCCACACUGGGAAUGAGACACGGCCCAGACUCCUACGGGAGGCAGCAGUGGGGAAUAUUGGACGAGGGGCGAAAGCCUGAUCCAGCAAUGCCGCGUGAGUGAUGAAGGCCUUAGGGUUGUAAAGCUCUUUUACCCGGGAUGAUAAUGACAGUACCGGGAGAAUAAGCUCCGGCUAACUCCGUG